RNAcentral lists this transfer RNA (72 nucleotides) under Camelus bactrianus (Bactrian camel). It matches the Rfam family "tRNA". Rfam says of the family: Transfer RNA (tRNA) molecules are approximately 80 nucleotides in length. The record is from Rfam by way of RNAcentral. Lineage: Eukaryota; Metazoa; Chordata; Mammalia; Artiodactyla; Camelidae. RNAcentral also lists the same sequence under 1 other name.
GGAGGUAUAGCUCAGGGGUAGAGCGUGUGCCUAGCAUGCACGAGGUCCUGGGUUCAAUCCCCAGUCCCUCCA